GUUUAUGACUUCACAGCCUGAUCCUUUCUAUACAUGCCUCAUUCCAUCUUGGAUUUUGUUCCCCACCUUUUAAGCACUGUUCACAAUUGCAAAGACCUGGAACCAACCUGAAUACCCAUCAAUGAUAGACUGGAUGAAGAAAAUGUGGCACGUAUACACCAUGGACUACUAUGCAGCCAUACAAAAGCACGGAAAGGGGUGGCUGGCAAGAUGGCCAAAUAGGAACAGCUCUGGUCUGCAGCUCCCAGUGAGAUCAACACAGAAGGUUACUGGGGUGCAGGUGGUGUUUGGUUACAUAAGAGGGGACUUGACAAGAUGA
RNAcentral lists this long non-coding RNA (319 nucleotides) under Callithrix jacchus (white-tufted-ear marmoset). RNAcentral describes it as "lncRNA (ENSCJAG00000068756.2)". Lineage: Eukaryota; Metazoa; Chordata; Mammalia; Primates; Cebidae. The record is from RNAcentral.